This 1313-nucleotide ribosomal RNA is filed under the name metagenome. Its description in RNAcentral is "bacterial LSU rRNA". It matches the Rfam family "Bacterial large subunit ribosomal RNA", at positions 1600 to 2925 of the family's 2925-position model. The record is from RNAcentral.
CUAUGCUUCCAAGAAAAGCAUCUAGAGAGAGAAGUAGUGCCCGUACCGCAAACCGACACAGGUAGAUGAGGAGAGAAUCCUAAGGCCGGCGGAAGAAUUGCAGUUAAGGAACUAGGCAAAUUGACCCCGUAAGUUCGCGAGAAGGGGUGCCUGCGAGAGCAGGCCGCAGAGAAUAGGCCCAAGCAACUGUUUAGCAAAAACACAGGUCUCUGCUAAAGCGUAAGCUGAUGUAUAGGGGCUGACGCCUGCCCGGUGCUGGAAGGUUAAGGGGAACACUUAGCGCAAGCGAAGGUGUGAACUUAAGCCCCAGUAAACGGCGGCCGUAACUAUAACGGUCCUAAGGUAGCGAAAUUCCUUGUCAGGUAAGUUCUGACCCGCACGAAUGGCGUAAUGACUUGGGCACUGUCUCAACUGCAAAUCCGGCGAAGUUGUAGUGCGAGUGAAGAUGCUCGCUACCCGCGAUUGGACGGAAAGACCCCGUAGAGCUUUACUGUAGCUUAGCAUUGAAUUCCGGUAUUGUCUGUACAGGAUAGGUGGGAGACUGGGAAACUAGGGCGUCAGCCUUAGUGGAGUCAACCUUGGGAUACCACCCUGACAGUACUGGGGUUCUAACAGGACGCCGUGAAGCUGGUGACUGGACAUUGUUAGGUGGGCAGUUUGACUGGGGCGGUCGCCUCCUAAAAAGUAACGGAGGCGCCCAAAGGUUCCCUCAGAACGGUCGGAAAUCGUUCGUAGAGUGCAAAGGCAGAAGGGAGCCUGACUGCGAGACCCACAAGUCGAGCAGGGACGAAAGUCGGGCUUAGUGAUCCGGUGGUACCUCGUGGGAGGGCCAUCGCUCAACGGAUAAAAGCUACCUCGGGGACAACAGGCUGAUCUCCCCCAAGAGUCCACAUCGACGGGGAGGUUUGGCACCUCGAUGUCGGCUCGUCGCAUCCUGGGGCUGUAGUAGGUCCCAAGGGUUGGGCUGUUCGCCCAUUAAAGCGGCACGCGAGCUGGGUUCAGAACGUCGUGAGACAGUUCGGUCCCUAUCCGUCGCGGGCGUAGGAAAUUUGAGAGGAGCUGUCCUUAGUACGAGAGGACCGGGAUGGACUGACCUCUGGUGCACCAGUUGCUCUGCCAAGAGCAUGGCUGGGUAGCUAAGUCGGGAAGGGAUAAACGCUGAAAGCAUCUAAGCGUGAAGCCCCCCUCAAGAUGAGAUUUCCCAUAGCAUAAGCUAGUAAGACCCCUUGAAGAACACAAGGUUGAUAGGUCAGAGGUGGAAGUGCGGUAACGUAUGUAGCUGACUGAUACUAAUAGGUCGAGGGCUUGACCAA